Molecule: long non-coding RNA, 653 nt
Organism: Zingiber officinale
Lineage: Eukaryota; Viridiplantae; Streptophyta; Magnoliopsida; Zingiberales; Zingiberaceae
Exons: 5
Source: RefSeq, a predicted model, not a curated record
ACAGCAUUUCUACAUCUGAUAUUUGUUCCAUGUCACAAGAUAGAGUUGAUAUAUCCAAAACUUUUUGCAUGUAGUAUCCUACUAAUAUGCCUCUUUGCUUUCCACUUUGUAUCCUGCACUAAGGAAAUAUGAUAAUACUUUUCCAUACAAAUUUUAAAAUGAACACUUCUAAGAUGAGGGGCAGCAAUUUUUUUUAAAAAAAAUUAUGUAGUAGUUCUGUUAAUUUGGAACUCAACAAUAUGUUUUUCUCUUUUCCAGAUUUUGUGAAGGUGGAGAAUUAUUAGAAAGAAUUUUAUCCAGAGGUGGAAGGUACUCAGAGGAGGAUGCAAAAGCUAUAGUUAUUCAAAUACCGAGUGUAAUCGCCUUUUGUCAUCUUCAAGGUGUUGUGCAUCGUGAUUUAAAGCCAGAGAGCUGAAAAUGCUCAGAUGAAGUUGAUUGAUUUUGGCCUUUCCGAUUUUGUUAAACCAGGCGCUAUCCAAAGCCCUAACAGAGAAUCAGCUGUUUUGUCUAAGAUCACAGUUUAAGCUGCUAGCACCAAAUGGAGAAGGUCACAUAUCGUUCGACAACUUUCGAAUGGCCCUAUUGCAAAAUGUAACCGAGUCAAUGAAGGAGAGUAAGGUUAUUGAUAUCUUAAAUGUGGCGAGGCAUCCAUU